CACGCUGUAAACGAUGAAUACUAGGUGUGGGAGGUAUCGACUCCUUCCGUGCCGUCGUAAACACAUUAAGUAUUCCGCCUGGGGAGUACGAUCGCAAGAUUAAAACUCAAAGGAAUUGACGGGGGCCCGCACAAGCAGCGGAGCAUGUGGUUUAAUUCGAAGCAACGCGAAGAACCUUACCUGGACUUGACAUCUCCUGAAUAGCCAAGAGAUUGGUGAAGCCCUUCGGGGCAGGAAGACAGGUGG
This 246-nucleotide ribosomal RNA is filed under the name uncultured Clostridiaceae bacterium. RNAcentral's name for it is "partial 16S ribosomal RNA". It matches the Rfam family "Bacterial small subunit ribosomal RNA", at positions 796 to 1041 of the family's 1533-position model. Lineage: Bacteria; Bacillati; Bacillota; Clostridia; Eubacteriales; Clostridiaceae. The record is from RNAcentral.